Molecule: long non-coding RNA, 227 nt
Filed under: Panax ginseng (ginseng)
Lineage: Eukaryota; Viridiplantae; Streptophyta; Magnoliopsida; Apiales; Araliaceae
Description: long non-coding RNA (PGIN_LNC006851)
Source: RNAcentral
UCCUCGUAGAAAGGUUUUAGCUCUUAAUGUAGGAAAUGAAGAAGAACUUGAUGAUGAUUCUGACGAAGAGAUAGCUAUGAUGUCAAGGAGACUCAAAGGACUUCUACAAAGAAAGAAUAAACGAAAGAAUACAUUCAAAGGCAAAGGAAAGCAAACUGAAGAAACGUGUUUUGAAUGUGGACGUCCAGGGCACUUCAAGAAGGACUGUUUUCAACUAAAGAAUAAAG